This 489-nucleotide ribosomal RNA is filed under the name uncultured bacterium. RNAcentral describes it as "partial 16S ribosomal RNA". It matches the Rfam family "Bacterial small subunit ribosomal RNA", at positions 30 to 507 of the family's 1533-position model. The record is from RNAcentral.
UUGAACGCUGGCGGCAGGCCUAACACAUGCAAGUCGAACGGUAACAGGAAGCAGCUUGCUGCUUUGCUGACGAGUGGCGGACGGGUGAGUAAUGUCUGGGAAACUGCCCGAUGGAGGGGGAUAACUACUGGAAACGGUAGCUAAUACCGCAUAACGUCGCAAGACCAAAGAGGGGGACCUUAGGGCCUCUUGCCAUCGGAUGUGCCCAGAUGGGAUUAGCUAGUAGGUGGGGUAACGGCUCACCUAGGCGACGAUCCCUAGCUGGUCUGAGAGGAUGACCAGCCACACUGGAACUGAGACACGGUCCAGACUCCUACGGGAGGCAGCAGUGGGGAAUAUUGCACAAUGGGCGCAAGCCUGAUGCAGCCAUGCCGCGUGUAUGAAGAAGGCCUUCGGGUUGUAAAGUACUUUCAGCGGGGAGGAAGGGAGUAAAGUUAAUACCUUGGCUCAUUGACGUUACCCGCAGAAGAAGCACCGGCUAACUCCGUG